Molecule: ribosomal RNA, 259 nt
Filed under: Lactococcus lactis
Lineage: Bacteria; Bacillati; Bacillota; Bacilli; Lactobacillales; Streptococcaceae
Description: partial 16S ribosomal RNA
Rfam family: Bacterial small subunit ribosomal RNA
Source: RNAcentral
UUAUUUGAGAGUUUGAUCCUGGCUCAGGACGAACGCUGGCGGCGUGCCUAAUACAUGCAAGUUGAGCGCUGAAAGUUGGUACUUGUACCGACUGGAUGAGCAGCGAACGGGUGAGUAACGCGUGGGGAAUCUGCCUUUGAGCGGGGGACAACAUUUGGAAACGAAUGCUAAUACCGCAUAAAAACUUUAAACACAAGUUUUAAGUUUGAAAGAUGCAAUUGCAUCACUCAAAGAUGAUCCCGCGUUGUAUUAGCUAGUU